CCUACGGGUGGCUGCAGUGAGGAAUAUUGGACAAUGGAGGAAACUCUGAUCCAGCCAUGCCGCGUGAGUGAAGAAGGCCUUCGGGUUGUAAAGCUCUUUCAGAUGUGACGAUGAUGACGGUAGCAUCAGAAGAAGCCCCGGCUAAAUUCGUGCCAGCAGCCGCGGUAAUACGAAUGGGGCAAGCGUUGUUCGGAAUCACUGGGCUUAAAGCGUACGCAGGCGGCCAUGCAAGUCAGGAGUGAAAUCCCCGGGCUUAACCCGGGAAUUGCUUUUGAAACUGCACGGCUAGAAUCCGGAAGAGGUUGGCGGAAUUCCGAGUGUAGAGGUGAAAUUCGCAGAUAUUCGGAGGAACACCAGUGGCGAAGGCGGCCAACUGGACCGGUAUUGACGCUGAGGUACGAAAGCGUGGGGAGCAAACAGGAUUAGAUACCCGUGUAGUC
Molecule: ribosomal RNA, 440 nt
Filed under: uncultured bacterium
Lineage: Bacteria
Description: bacterial SSU rRNA
Rfam family: Bacterial small subunit ribosomal RNA
Source: RNAcentral